RNAcentral lists this long non-coding RNA (1200 nucleotides) under Gallus gallus (chicken). Its description in RNAcentral is "lncRNA (ENSGALG00010019060.1)". Lineage: Eukaryota; Metazoa; Chordata; Aves; Galliformes; Phasianidae. The record is from RNAcentral.
UCCUGGCCCAACAAGUUUCCUCAGUGCCGUGCUUGUGGCUUUGCACAGCCUAAGCUAUAGGAUUUCUUUGCAGCAUGGUUUUCUUGACAUUUUGGCCCUUGUGGACAGUCCUUGGCCUCAGGAGUAGCUGCUAGCCUCUUGCCCAACCAUCCCACUCUGGGCCACUCUUCUUCCCUUUCAGUAUGCAUGAGUAACUCCCACGAAUGUAAAUAAAAGUUAUGUGCACGCAUCAAGGGGAAAUGGAUCCAUUUGUCAUGGCUCCAGACAAGCAGCAUCUCCCCAAGGAGCUACUUACGAGGCUAUUGAGAAGCCAGCAGCAACGCGUGAUAGGCUGCACCUUCUUCCAUGUGUGUUGCAGAAAUUAUUGGCAUGUUGCUGAUGUUUACGGCGAACAAAUAGUUUAUUUCUGGGCUAAGAAAGAUUUCAAUGUAAAUACUCAACUGGCAGCUAGCUGGAAGUUUGCCACUUGAAGUUAAAAGGCCCAUGACCAAUGGUGUCAGAUUAACAUUUCCAAGUUGGACAAUGUACAAAUGGUGUUCUUGGACUGGAAUAGAAAUAGAUGAAAGUGGUCUGCUGCAGUGCAAAUAACAAACUGGCAACCAGCUGGUCAUUGGAAAGAGAACAUACUAUGGGAAUAUGCUUUCUGCAGAAAUACUUUAUUUUGGAGAUAAGCAUUAACAAUAGGAAGAUGAGGCUCAUUUAACAAGAACCAUAUGGUCUCAUCCUGCUUUUAUUUCACUCAGUAGCAAAGCUCUGAUGAUCUUUUGUGUGUGCAAGAUAGGGGUUGCUGUUAAUAAAUAAGCAAAACAGAUUCAAGCUAGUCGUUUGGAAUUAAAAAGAAACAGUAAUGCUUGAUCUACUGUUGCCUUUUAAAAGGUAUGAAGGGGAUAGUUUUAAUCCACAAAAUGCUAUUUCAGGAGACCGUAACUGAAAGGAAGUGGAAUUAAAGGUGUUUGUUGGAAAACAACUUCUGAUAAAGUAAGACUAAGAUCCACUCAAGACUGAGUUAUGAACCAGUGUGAAACCAAUACAGAAAUUUCUCCAAGCUAAUUUGUGGCUGGGUUCAUUCCAUAAAAAAGUUUGUAUUUUUCAGGAGAGACGACAACACCCCUUUUUAAAGCAGUUUUAACUACACCAUUUAUUCUACUAGCAACUUAAUCAGAGUGGCUAAACUUUGUUAUUUUGGUUGCAAGAAGACAG